This 425-nucleotide ribosomal RNA is filed under the name uncultured bacterium. RNAcentral describes it as "partial 16S ribosomal RNA". It matches the Rfam family "Bacterial small subunit ribosomal RNA", at positions 354 to 796 of the family's 1533-position model. The record is from RNAcentral.
GUGGGGAAUCUUGCGCAAUGGGCGAAAGCCUGACGCAGCCAUGCCACGUGAAUGAUGAAGGUCUUAGGAUUGUAAAAUUCUUUCACCGGGGACGAUAAUGACGGUACCCGGAGAAGAAGCUCCGGCUAACUUCGUGCCAGCAGCCGCGGUAAUACGAAGGGGGCUAGCGUUGCUCGGAAUUACUGGGCGUAAAGGGCGCGUAGGCGGACAGCUUAGUCAGAGGUGAAAGCCCAGGGCUCAACCUUGGAAUUGCCUUUGAUACUGGCUGUCUUGAGUUUGGGAGAGGUGAGUGGAACUCCGAGUGUAGAGGUGAAAUUCGUAGAUAUUCGGAAGAACACCAGUGGCGAAGGCGACUCACUGGCCCAAUACUGACGCUGAGGCGCGAAAGCGUGGGGAGCAAACAGGAUUAGAUACCCCAGUAGUCC